Molecule: long non-coding RNA, 383 nt
Filed under: Malus domestica (apple)
Lineage: Eukaryota; Viridiplantae; Streptophyta; Magnoliopsida; Rosales; Rosaceae
Description: long non-coding RNA (MDOM_LNC005920)
Source: RNAcentral
UUGCCUCGCUAAUUGGAACCUAAUGGAUCCUACACCGAGUAAGGAUGAAAGUGAAGAAAUAUAAAUGAGAUGGAUAAGCAAUUAAAUGGUUUAAUUGAGAAUGAUCAAGAUUAAUAAAUUAAUUAAUUAAUUAUACAAAAGGUUCGUAUUGGGCUUUCAAUUUAGUUUCAGGUCUCGGGGGCCCAAAAGUGUUUUGGUCCACAAGGCCCAUUAUGUCUAAGUUGUAUGAAAACUAAAGCAAAAUGGGCAAUUAGCCCAAUAACAAAGUCAAGGCUGGCCAUAAGGGUGAGUGGAAGCAAACUUGGAUUAAUUGCAAGUUUGCCACUCACAUGUGAGGUAGUAUAAAGUCAUCUUUAUAGCUUUUACUCACUAGGGUUUUCUUG